Molecule: long non-coding RNA, 1106 nt
Filed under: Pelobates cultripes (western spadefoot toad)
Lineage: Eukaryota; Metazoa; Chordata; Amphibia; Anura; Pelobatidae
Source: RNAcentral
GUUCUGGAAGGUCAUUUGGGUUGUGGCCUGUAAUUGCUCGGCCAAGCCCUGGAGGGCAUCCCUGGUGUAGUUCACGAAGCGCUGUUGGUUGUAAUAGAUAUAAUUAAUCCAAUUAAGGUUUUUGUUGGCAGUGACUAUGGUAAAAAGUGAUUCAAAACCUGCAGCUACUUCAUCUCUAGCUUUAAAUUCAUUAGGCACCCCCCUAGGCACCCCAAUGGCAUCUAUGUAAAUGUGGGGGUCAAAACUGCCUUUUACUGGGGUUUCGCACCUUACUCUGGCUGAUGUAUGUGGAGGGUCGUAUGUGUCAUGAUGAUUAUCAGAAAUAAUAUGAAUGGGCAUGAUAACUUUGGCCAGGGUACACUCACCCUACCACUCAGUUUCCAGCCUAGAUCUUAACUGUAGAUCCCCACAUAACCAGUAAAUAUCCCCCAAUGACCUGGUAUGGUGUUGCGUAUAGGAACAGUUCUGUAAGUGGCGCAAUAACCUUUAGAAAAAUUACCCAUGAAUUUACCAAUCCCGUCAUACAUGGCAUAACAAGUGUAAUUACCUCUAUAGACUGUGAUUCCAUCUGGUGGCUUAACAUUUUCAACUAAGAGAGGGUAUUCUGCCGUCCAUGCCAUGCAGAGGGACCUAUUAAAGUCAUAUUGGUAGGCAAAAAGGCUUAAGAAGCAAUCUUCUAUCUCUAAAGGGAGAGUUAGGGGGACGGUGCCAAGGUGGGGUCGGGCACCGCCACAUACAUAACAUGCUGUUUUAUUAUGUUUGUUAGCAUUAUACCUCAUCCAUUCUAACCACAAAUUAAUGUCAUUGAAUCCAGUUUCAGCGGCCAUGGUAUCUUCAAAAGUGGGGUUAGCGAUGGCCAUCAUAUCUUUAAAGGACUGGAUAUGUGGUUUUAGCGGAUUUGGGACCAUAUGAUCAGCCCCUUGCCACUCUGGAGAGUGGGACAUAUCUCUGAGGUAGAAAUUACCUAAUUUGUUGUAGGAACCUUUCUUCCAAUACAUUCCCAUUACAUAUCGGUCUGCAUCCUCGGGGCCAGGAUGUUCAAUAUUUAACAUUAAUUUCAUAGGGGUACUUCCUCCAGGCUUUCUUAAAGUCAUUCUUUGAAGGAG